GAUGAAGAACGUAGCGAAAUGCGAUAAGUAAUGUGAAUUGCAGAAUUCAGUGAAUCAUCGAAUCUUUGAACGCACAUUGCGCCCGCCAGUAUUCUGGCGGGCAUGCCUGUUCGAGCGUCAUUUCAACCAUCAAGCCCCAGGCUUGUGUUGGGGACCUGCGGCUGCCGCAGGCCCUGAAAACCAGUGGCGGGCUCGCUGUCACACCGGGCGUAGUAGAUUUUAUCUCGCUCAGGGCGUGCUGCGGGUUCCGGCCGUUAAAAAGCCUUUUUUACCCAAGGUUGACCUCGGAUCAGAUAGGAAUACCCGCUGAACUUAAGCAUAUCAAUAAGCGGAGGA
This 336-nucleotide unclassified non-coding RNA is filed under the name soil metagenome. RNAcentral describes it as "partial contains 5.8S ribosomal RNA, internal transcribed spacer 2, and large subunit ribosomal RNA". The stretch from base 1 to 120 matches the Rfam family "5.8S ribosomal RNA", at positions 35 to 154 of the family's 154-position model. The record is from RNAcentral.